Molecule: ribosomal RNA, 465 nt
Filed under: Vreelandella stevensii
Lineage: Bacteria; Pseudomonadati; Pseudomonadota; Gammaproteobacteria; Oceanospirillales; Halomonadaceae
Description: partial 16S ribosomal RNA
Rfam family: Bacterial small subunit ribosomal RNA
Source: RNAcentral
CCUACGGGUGGCAGCAGUGGGGAAUAUUGGACAAUGGGCGAAAGCCUGAUCCAGCCAUGCCGCGUGUGUGAAGAAGGCCUUCGGGUUGUAAAGCACUUUCAGUGGGGAAGAAAGCCUUGGGGCUAAUACCCUCGAGGAAGGACAUCACCCACAGAAGAAGCACCGGCUAACUCCGUGCCAGCAGCCGCGGUAAUACGGAGGGUGCGAGCGUUAAUCGGAAUUACUGGGCGUAAAGCGCGCGUAGGCGGUCUGAUAAGCCGGUUGUGAAAGCCCCGGGCUCAACCUGGGAACGGCAUCCGGAACUGUCAGGCUAGAGUGCAGGAGAGGAAGGUAGAAUUCCCGGUGUAGCGGUGAAAUGCGUAGAGAUCGGGAGGAAUACCAGUGGCGAAGGCGGCCCUCUGGACUGACACUGACGCUGAGGUGCGAAAGCGUGGGUAGCAAACAGGAUUAGAUACCCGUGUAGUC